Molecule: ribosomal RNA, 492 nt
Filed under: uncultured bacterium
Lineage: Bacteria
Description: partial 16S ribosomal RNA
Rfam family: Bacterial small subunit ribosomal RNA
Source: RNAcentral
AUUGAACGCUGGCGGCAUGCUUUACACAUGCAAGUCGAACGGUAACAGACCGCGAGGUUCUUCCGAGUGGCGAACGGGUGCGUAAUGCAUCGGAACGUGUCCAGACGUGGGUUAUCGCUACUCGUAAGAGUAGCUAAUACCCCCUACUAUCUCUGGAUGAAUGCGGGUGACCGCAAGGCCUCGUGCGAUUUUACCCGCCUGUAUCAGCCGAUGUCGGAGUAGGUAGUUGGGGGGGUAAAGGCCCACCAAGGUAACGAUCCGUAGCUGGUCUGAGAGGAUGAUCAGCCACACUGGAACUGAGACACGGUCCAGACUCCUACGGGAGGCAGCAGUGGGGAAUAUUGGACAAUGGGCGCAAGCCUGAUCCAGCAAUGCCGCGUGGAGGAAGAAGGCCUUCGGGUUGUAAACUGCUUUUGUUGGGAACGAAACGCCUCUGGUUAAUACCCGGCGGUAAUGACGGUACCGUAAGAAUAAGCACCGGCUAACUACGUG